CCAAGAAUGUUUAUUUGUAGUUUGGAUUCUUUGUGGAUGUCAGUUGUUUGUUCAUAUAAUGAUGAUGGGCCCCAUUAUUAUAUGAGCCCACCUGAAGGUGGUCAACUGAUACUCACAGAAGAUCUACUCUGCACUAAACAUUCUUUAUGUGAUGAUAUAACUGGGGUAUUGAAGUGGUCCCUUUCCCUUUGCUCGAAGUUGCGUAUAUAAAGGAAUGAAGUAGCUACAAAAGAAGAUAGAAAAAGUUUGGUUAUAGCCUUUGAUCGCUUCGCUAAACGGUCCAACAGCUGGAUUUGGUCUUUCCCUUCUCGCAUUGUGUGAUAUAGUCUUUGCUUCAGAAAAGGCAACUUUUCAAACGAAGUUUGUGGAGUGGGGUCAUCCUCCAGUUGGAUGUUGCUCUCUAACUUUACCUCAUUUAUAUGGUCGUUCACAGCACGAAACUCGACUGCUACAUGGCAAAGGAAUGCAGAAUUGUCGCAGAAAUUUUAUCUUUCAAACAUUUGGAGAAGGAACUCAAUUAACGUUUGGCGAGAUUUUCACUAGUUUCUAGACAGUGCCUGCGAGACACAAAGACGUUGAUGGUCAGCAGUAAUAUGAAGAACUUCAGUUUAAAAAUCACGAGGAAUGCGAUUUGUUUCAAAAGUACAUCAGCAACGAUGAUAUUGUGGAUUGCAUCGUAAGUUGAUGGUGGACGAGCUUACAGGAAUGACUUACCAUCCAGGUAUACUUGCGAUCAGACUUAUGGCGCGUGCUAAUAUUUAUUGUACAAAUAGGAUAGUGUGUCCCAAUGAUCCGUUUGUAACCGUUACGCAGCGGAAAUUGUAUUCCUAAUGAUCCGUUUGUAACCUUUACGCAGCGGAAUUUGUAGCGUUGUUUGUGUAAAUCAUUCGUAACUUGAGUUGAAUAACAAAACAUAUUCGUUCAUUUAA
Xenia sp. Carnegie-2017 is the source of this 929-nucleotide long non-coding RNA. RefSeq lists it as uncharacterized. NCBI's taxonomy places the organism in Eukaryota, Metazoa, Cnidaria, Anthozoa, Malacalcyonacea, Xeniidae. The record is from RefSeq and is a predicted model, not a curated record. The transcript has 4 exons.